Molecule: long non-coding RNA, 638 nt
Organism: Hipposideros armiger (great roundleaf bat)
Lineage: Eukaryota; Metazoa; Chordata; Mammalia; Chiroptera; Hipposideridae
Exons: 4
Source: RefSeq, a predicted model, not a curated record
CAAACUCUGCCUCCAGCCUGCGGAGAAGGGGUUAAUGCCUUUUGUCUGCCGCCACCUUAGCCGGGGCUGUAGCCACCCCUGGUGGGGGAGAGAGAAACCGAGAGAGGAGGAAGGGCCUCAGCUGAGGCUGGGGCCUCAGUGCUGAGCGGGCUGGGUGGUGUCACCCCGACCAGGCUUCCCAGCCCCGCCGGCAUGUUCUAAUUGUCUGGGGAGCCUUUACCAGGCUCCGAUGUCUGCUGGACCUUUGGAAGUUCAAUGUGGACGCAGAUUAAAUAAUAGUACUACUGUAUCAGUGCUCGACUUCCUGAUUUGAUAACUUGCACUGUGGGGCAGGGCUCACCUUGUGCUUCCGAACCGAUUCCCUUGCCCCUGCCCUCCUCCCCCAACCUAGAACACUCUUAGGAGAACUGUCCUGGGACUACUAGAGCCACGAUCUGCAUGGAGGUGGUGAUGCACAGUUCAAAGUCAACAAACAUUGAGGACCCACUAUGUGCAAGACCCUGUGCAAAGCAUGACCGUGGGUGUCUAGAGCACAUGAGAAGCAUUGUAUUAAGAAAUGUAAGACCUUGGGCUGCUGUGAGCUACCGUGAGUGGCCAGCAGCCAGCAUGAGCUGCUGUGAGCGGCCGUCCAGUAUCCG